This 242-nucleotide ribosomal RNA is filed under the name uncultured bacterium. RNAcentral's name for it is "partial 16S ribosomal RNA". It matches the Rfam family "Bacterial small subunit ribosomal RNA", at positions 15 to 236 of the family's 1533-position model. The record is from RNAcentral.
GAUCAUGGCUCAGGAUGAACGCUGGCGGCGUGCUUAACACAUGCAAGUCGAACGAAACACCUUAUUUGAUUUUCUUCGGAACUGAAGAUUUGGUGAUUGAGUGGCGGACGGGUGAGUAACGCGUGGGUAACCUGCCCUGUACAGGGGAGUAACAGUCAGAAAUAGACUGCUAAUACCGCAUAAGACCACAGCACCGCAUGGUGCAGGGUAAAACGUACCGGUGGUACAGGAUGGACCCGCGU